UCCGGGUGCAGAUGCUGCUGGGCACCUCUCCUGGUGGACAUGAUUAAACUCUGAUGAAAAUAAUGGUAAAGACUUAUUCAGAAAGCAGCACAAAAUAACUCAUUUCAGUACGCCCUGCUGAACCAAGGAUUUAAACUCGGGCAUCCUGUUACCAGCUCUCCCCGCAGCAAAGACCAUGGCAAACAGAGGGUGAUUUGAGAGGAAACCCAGCUCCCCGGCUGCUGAAAUCCCUGCUGUGUGAUGCCUUGUUUUGUGCUGAUGCUGCUGCCCUGACAACAAAGGGGAUCCACCAAAGUAGCGUUGGGAUGAGUCACCCCAGGGUGCAUCACCCACCCACAAGCCAGCAGGGACAUCUGAGCACAUCUCCAUUGG
Molecule: long non-coding RNA, 372 nt
Organism: Oxyura jamaicensis (ruddy duck)
Lineage: Eukaryota; Metazoa; Chordata; Aves; Anseriformes; Anatidae
Exons: 3
Source: RefSeq, a predicted model, not a curated record